CAAUAGCGUAUAUUUAAGUUGUUGCAGUUAAAAAGCUCGUAGUCGGAUUUUGGCUGAGAACGAUCGGUCCGCCGUUAGGUGUGCACUGAUUGGUCUCAGCUUCCUGGUGAGGAGGUGUGCUUCACGGCCACUUAGUCACCGUGGUUACUUUGAAAAAAUUAGAGUGUUCAAAGCGGGCUUACGCUUGAAUAUAUUAGCAUGGAAUAACACCAUAGGACUCCUGUCCUAUUUCGUUGGUCUCGGGACGGGAGUAAUGAUUAAGAGGAACAGUUGGGGGCAUUCGUAUUUCAUUGCCAGAGGUGAAAUUCUUGGAUUUAUGAAAGACGAACUUCUGCGAAAGCAUUUGCCAAGGAUGUUUUCAUUGA
RNAcentral lists this ribosomal RNA (365 nucleotides) under uncultured eukaryote. RNAcentral describes it as "partial 18S ribosomal RNA". It matches the Rfam family "Eukaryotic small subunit ribosomal RNA", at positions 592 to 976 of the family's 1831-position model. The record is from RNAcentral.